UAGAUUCAGUGGUUUGUUCUC
This 21-nucleotide non-coding RNA is filed under the name Arabidopsis thaliana (thale cress). Lineage: Eukaryota; Viridiplantae; Streptophyta; Magnoliopsida; Brassicales; Brassicaceae. The record is from RNAcentral.